RNAcentral lists this transfer RNA (63 nucleotides) under Heterocephalus glaber (naked mole-rat). It matches the Rfam family "tRNA". Rfam says of the family: Transfer RNA (tRNA) molecules are approximately 80 nucleotides in length. Their secondary structure includes four short double-helical elements and three loops (D, anti-codon, and T loops). Lineage: Eukaryota; Metazoa; Chordata; Mammalia; Rodentia; Bathyergidae. The record is from Rfam by way of RNAcentral.
GGGGAUUUAGCUCAGUAGUUCGGUGUCUGCCUUGAAAGCAGAAGGUCCCAAGUUCAAUCCCCA